Long non-coding RNA from Juglans microcarpa x Juglans regia, 184 nucleotides. RefSeq lists it as uncharacterized. The transcript is spliced from 3 exons. The record is from RefSeq and is a predicted model, not a curated record. Lineage: Eukaryota; Viridiplantae; Streptophyta; Magnoliopsida; Fagales; Juglandaceae.
GCUAUACCUCUAUUUGGUCUUCCACUUGUGUUUUGAAAGGGGCUAACAGCUAAAGGACCUAUAUUGAUGAUGAAAGUAUCGAGGAGCAUAGAGGUAAUGAUGAAAAGGAUGGGAAGCAAGGCAUUACUCUGGAGAGAGAGGCAGAUGCUUAGGAUCUUUCCUAACUAGAACAGUUAUGUUUAUG